CGGUUCCUUAGCCUUUAUUAGAGCCUCAAAGAUUCAGAAUCCGGAAUGUGGUCUGUAAAAACAACAACCAACAGACAACGUGUUCCAGCUUUAGAUUCCUCCGAAAUGGAAGACUCGAUGACCGGUAAAGGCUCAUAAAUCGCCGUGAGGACGUUGACUUGAUCAGAAACGUAAGCCUCCGUUGGUUGGCUGUCCUCAGGACUGUCCCCAGGACCAAUCAGCCAGCAUGAGUCCGAUCAGAAAAGCAGGGCCCAGAGAAGGGAAGCGACUUGCCACAGUGAACCAGCUAAGAAGAGAAUCUGGUGCCCAGGGAGCCUCCCUGAGAUGCCAGUGUUAUUAAAGUCGUGAGGAGCGAAGGAAACGCCAGCAAAACUGUGAGCCCCCUCCCCCGGGACACCCAGGCCGAUUUCUUUUGCUCCCUCCCCUGCCCUCCC
Molecule: long non-coding RNA, 434 nt
Filed under: Suricata suricatta (meerkat)
Lineage: Eukaryota; Metazoa; Chordata; Mammalia; Carnivora; Herpestidae
Description: lncRNA (ENSSSUG00005021684.1)
Source: RNAcentral